RNAcentral lists this ribosomal RNA (105 nucleotides) under Paraleucobryum enerve. RNAcentral's name for it is "partial 5.8S ribosomal RNA". It matches the Rfam family "5.8S ribosomal RNA", at positions 52 to 154 of the family's 154-position model. From Rfam's summary of the family: 5.8S ribosomal RNA (5.8S rRNA) is a component of the large subunit of the eukaryotic ribosome. It is transcribed by RNA polymerase I as part of the 45S precursor that also contains 18S and 28S rRNA. The record is from RNAcentral. Lineage: Eukaryota; Viridiplantae; Streptophyta; Bryopsida; Dicranales; Dicranaceae.
AAUGCGAUACGUAGUGUGAAUUGCAGAAUUCCGCGAAUCAUCGAGUCUUUGAACGCAAGUUGCGCCCGAGGCUUGACCAAGGGCAUCCCUGCCAGAGCGUCACCG